Vicugna pacos (alpaca) is the source of this 159-nucleotide non-coding RNA. The record is from RefSeq and is a predicted model, not a curated record. NCBI's taxonomy places the organism in Eukaryota, Metazoa, Chordata, Mammalia, Artiodactyla, Camelidae.
GCCUUCCGAUCUCCAGGAUGUAAGACAGGAGAAACAAAGGAGCGCCACCAUUUUCCUCUCCUGGGUUGGCCCGCCUUCAAUUCUCAAAGGUGUACUCUAAGAACUUGUUGCUCUACUAAUAAAAUAUUCUGUUUAUACCACGCUUCAGUCUCCCCAUUU